AAGAGCCGCAGUAACAGUACGCGAGGCCAGCGCCAGCAGCGCCGGCCCACCCGCACGAGCCGCAGCCGUCCACGUCAGCGAGGAGGGCCCAGCAGCUCCCGCGCCGCGGCCGCGCCUACGCGAGUGCCAGACCGGGCAACGACAGAAGACGCCGCUACUAGAGGUACC
Long non-coding RNA from Aricia agestis (brown argus), 168 nucleotides. RefSeq lists it as uncharacterized. The record is from RefSeq and is a predicted model, not a curated record. NCBI's taxonomy places the organism in Eukaryota, Metazoa, Arthropoda, Insecta, Lepidoptera, Lycaenidae. The transcript has 3 exons.